UAUAAUAGUCAGGGCGUGAAUUUUUAAUUAUUAUUUUAGUUAAUCAUAUUGCUUCGAAAUUGGCCACAACUCCUCAACUCACAACUAAUUUCUUCGAGCGAGCGGAAAGAGAGCAAAUUUGGCCUUCACCAAAAAAGUGGCUGCAUAGUGCCAAACCAAUGAAUGGCCGUUACGCAUCUUGUUAUUCUAGUGUCUUUGAUCAAACCCAUUAGAGUAAUGGGUUGAAUUUGUAAUUCAACAAAAUCUCCCAAGGUUCACCCAUUUCCGUGAUACUAUUCCUCAUAGCAUUCAAUAAAUUAUCCCUUAAAAAACAGCUUAAAGCCGACCUUGCGACAAAAAAGAAAGAAAACAUAAUAAACUGCAGUACAUGGUACCAAUCUAUUAAUACGAACACCUCACACACAUCCGAUUACCUCAAACAAUCUCACCCUAAUUGGAACAGACUCGACCAAAUAAAAAUAAUACGACUUCGACUAGGCCACACAAACAUAACCGACCAACACUACCUAAAUCCCAAUUCAAUACCCACUUGUCCAUUACAUUAGAUAUUAACUAAAUUAAGAUAUAAUAACAUUGUAAAUAAAUAUAGCUGUAAGCCCCGUAGCCAAUGCUAUGUUGCACAUGCAGGUGCAUGUUGAAGAUUUAAGUUAGUCUACUUUUGUAAACUAUUCUAUCUAUCAUAAUAACCAAUUAAUAAACAAAUUUAAAAGGAUCGGCAAACAAAAUUAUUUAUUUUGAAGACUGUGCAAACGAAAUAAUUUAUUCUUCAAGGGUGCACAAAUGUUUUAUAUUGAAAAUGUUUAUUUUUAAGAGGUGGGCUAACGGAAUUGGUUAUUUUUUAAGUGUGGGCAAUAAAAAAAAUAAUUGUUAAAUGUUUUUUAAUGGUGAGCAAACGAUAAAAAAUAAUAGUAAUGGUUGGGAAAACGUUUUUUUUUUUUUAUUAAUAUUUAGUUUUAAGAGAUGGACAAAAGCUUUCUUCUCUGAGUAGACCGAGAUUUACGUGAAUGUCGAAUAUACACAUUUUUUCAACAUUCUAGAGGGUUUCAAACGAUGUUAUUGCAAUUUAAAAAAAAAAUUUCGAACAUUUUUGAACUUUUUCGAAAAAUCAUAUUUCAAAACCUGGACGUGGGCAAAAAAAAAAAAACUAAUUGGUGGGAAAAUAUGCGAAAACGAUUCUAGUUUUCAAAUUUCAAAAAUUCAUUUUUUCCGAACCUAGUUUCUUUUAACUGAUGUUGUGACCAAGUGCACCCACACACUAACUUUUCGCGAUCCGAACUUAGCGGCAGUUCGGCACGACGACGAUUCGGACCCGCGAUUGACUCCGGAUUGAUUGACAAAAUUGAGCGCAAAGACUAGCGGUAGCAGUUGACUGCUUUUGAAAACAAUAUUGGUGGUCGACGCCUUCGGAAUUGCCAAAGAAUCUACGGGAGUCAAAGGAGGUUGCCCCGUAAGACUCCUAAUUCAACGAACGUGGCCCUCCCUGCGCUCAAUUAUAUGUUUGGAAUACACUCACCGGCGAUAUCGGGACCGCCUCGGGGAAAAGUAUCCAUUGAGAUCUUGACUCUUGACUCAUGACUCACUGAUUCUUCAGUGGUGAGUUUAGAGCGGAAUUGCCUGAAGAAAUAUGAUUUUAAGACUUCCAACAUAAAUUUAAUUUAUGUUGGCACCCUGGUUAUUCUAUGGGCAAAUGUAAAAAUAAAUUUUUUUGCGCAAAACUAAA
Molecule: long non-coding RNA, 1720 nt
Organism: Drosophila sechellia
Lineage: Eukaryota; Metazoa; Arthropoda; Insecta; Diptera; Drosophilidae
Exons: 2
Source: RefSeq, a predicted model, not a curated record